GACGAACGCUGGCGGCGUGCUUAACACAUGCAAGUCGAACGGAAAGGCCCUGCUUUUGUGGGGUGCUCGAGUGGCGAACGGGUGAGUAACACGUGAGUAACCUGCCCUUGACUUUGGGAUAACUUCAGGAAACUGGGGCUAAUACCGGAUAGGAGCUCCUGCUGCAUGGUGGGGGUUGGAAAGUUUCGGCGGUUGGGGAUGGACUCGCGGCUUAUCAGCUUGUUGGUGGGGUAGUGGCUUACCAAGGCUUUGACGGGUAGCCGGCCUGGGAGGGUGACCGGCCACAUUGGGACGGAGAUGCGGCCCAGACUCCUACGGGAGGCAGCGGUGGGGAAUAGUGCACAAUGGGCGGAAGCCUGAUGCAGCAACGCCGCGUGCGGGAUGACGGCCUUCGGGUUGUAAACCGCUUUCGCCUGUGACAAAGCGUGAGUGACGGUAAUGGGUAAAGAAGCACCGGCUAACUACGUG
This 468-nucleotide ribosomal RNA is filed under the name uncultured bacterium. RNAcentral describes it as "partial 16S ribosomal RNA". It matches the Rfam family "Bacterial small subunit ribosomal RNA", at positions 28 to 507 of the family's 1533-position model. The record is from RNAcentral.